This 325-nucleotide long non-coding RNA is filed under the name Elaeis guineensis (African oil palm). RNAcentral's name for it is "long non-coding RNA (EGUI_LNC076608)". Lineage: Eukaryota; Viridiplantae; Streptophyta; Magnoliopsida; Arecales; Arecaceae. The record is from RNAcentral.
CAAUUUGGAAGAUUGAGCCUUGAAUAAGGUUGCUUGGCAGUUUGGUUUAGCCUAUACCAAUUAGAUCGGUUAUAUGAUGAUUGAUUAGAUGAGAUCUAAAUUUAAAUCUCCCUAUAAAAUACUAAGUCCAUAGGUCUUCCAUUGUUAUUGAUGUGCAGGCAUGGUACUGGUGUUGAUUGUUCUUGGCUGGUCACAAUGGUUCAAUUCAUCGGAAACAUACAAUCACUCUAUUAGCAAAGAGUUGCUCCAAAAUAAUGAUGAGGUUAGGCCCAAUAACUGUUAGGUAAAGAUUUCAAUAACAGCUUUGCACCUACUAGUGAAUGGU